UGCGCAGGCGGUUCGGAAAGAAAGAUGUGAAAUCCCAGAGCUUAACUUUGGAAUGGCAUUUUUAACUACCGGGCUAGAGUAUGUCAGAGGGGGGUAGAAUUCCACGUGUAGCAGUGAAAUGCGUAGAGAUGUGGAGGAAUACCGAUGGCGAAGGCAGCCCCCUGGGAUGAUACUGACGCUCAUGCACGAAAGCGUGGGGAGCAAACAG
This 208-nucleotide ribosomal RNA is filed under the name uncultured Alcaligenaceae bacterium. RNAcentral describes it as "partial 16S ribosomal RNA". It matches the Rfam family "Bacterial small subunit ribosomal RNA", at positions 568 to 775 of the family's 1533-position model. Lineage: Bacteria; Pseudomonadati; Pseudomonadota; Betaproteobacteria; Burkholderiales; Alcaligenaceae. The record is from RNAcentral.